CACACAUCCAUACAGUCCACACCAUCACACACACACACACACAUAUCUGUACAGUCCACACCUUCACACAUCCAUACAGUCCACACCGUCAUACACACACACAUCUAUACAGUCCACACCGUCACACAUCCGUACAGUCCACACCGUCAUACAAACACACAUCUAUACAGUCCACACCGUCACACAUCCGUACAGUCCACACCGUCAUACAAACACACACACAUCUAUACAGUCCACAUCGUCACACAUCCAUACAGUUCACACCAUCAUACACACAUCUAUACAGUCCACACCAUCACAUGCACACACAUCUAUAUGGUCUACACCAUCACACACACACACAUCUAUACAGUCCACACUGUUACAUGCACACAUCUAUACAGUCCACACCGUCACAUAUCUAUACAGUCCACACCGUCAUACACACACACAUCUAUACAGUCCACACCGUCACACAUCCAUACAGUCCACACCGUCAUACAAACACACACACAUCUAUACAGUCCACACCGUCACACAUCUAUACAGUCCACACCGUCAUACACACACACAUCUCUACAGUCCACACCAUCACAUACACACACACAUCUAUAUGGUCUACACCGUCACACACACACAUCUAUACAGUCCACACCGUCGUACACACACGCCCACACCCGCAUGCCCACACAUCCAUACAGUCCACAUUCACGUAUGCCCAUAUGCAUCCAUUCACACGUGUGUACACAUGCUCACACACAUUCAUAGACUCCACACAUGCACACGUGCGCACACACGCACAUGCUCGCACACAUGCACAGAUACACUCACGUCCACACACGCUCAAACAUGCGUGCACACCCGGAGGUGCCCAGAGGGGCAGGGUGGG
Molecule: long non-coding RNA, 868 nt
Filed under: Pan troglodytes (chimpanzee)
Lineage: Eukaryota; Metazoa; Chordata; Mammalia; Primates; Hominidae
Description: long non-coding RNA NONPTRT007917
Source: RNAcentral